RNAcentral lists this ribosomal RNA (253 nucleotides) under uncultured bacterium. Its description in RNAcentral is "partial 16S ribosomal RNA". It matches the Rfam family "Bacterial small subunit ribosomal RNA", at positions 524 to 776 of the family's 1533-position model. The record is from RNAcentral.
UACGUAGGUGGCAAGCGUUGUCCGGAUUUACUGGGCGUAAAGGGCGUGCAGGCGGUUUGUCUAGUCUAGGGUGAAAGCUCCCAGCUUAACUGGGAGAGGUCCUUGGAUACUGGCAAACUUGAGGGAGGCAGAGGAAAGUGGAAUUCCCGGUGUAGUGGUGAUAUGCGUAGAUAUCGGGAGGAACACCAGUGGCGAAGGCGGCUUUCUGGGCCUUACCUGACGCUGAGACGCGAAAGCGUGGGGAGCGAACCGG